UCAUCCUAGCUGGGACUCGAACCUGGAACCUUUGGAUUAGAAAUUCAACAUGCUAUCUACUGCGCUACUGGGAG
This is a non-coding RNA of Cordylochernes scorpioides, 74 nucleotides long. The record is from the annotation of a GenBank genome assembly. NCBI's taxonomy places the organism in Eukaryota, Metazoa, Arthropoda, Arachnida, Pseudoscorpiones, Chernetidae.